RNAcentral lists this unclassified non-coding RNA (1386 nucleotides) under Habropoda laboriosa. Its description in RNAcentral is "bUB3-interacting and GLEBS motif-containing protein ZNF207, transcript variant X4". The record is from RNAcentral. Lineage: Eukaryota; Metazoa; Arthropoda; Insecta; Hymenoptera; Apidae.
AUGGGACGCAAGAAGAAGAAGCAGUCGAGGCCCUGGUGUUGGUAUUGUAAUAGAGAAUUUGAAGAUGAAAAAAUUCUGAUCCAGCACCAAAAAGCAAAACAUUUUAAAUGUCACAUUUGUCAUAAAAAACUUUACACGGGACCAGGACUUAGUAUACAUUGUAUGCAGGUGCAUAAAGAAGCAAUAGAUAAAGUACCUAAUUCUUUGCCAAAUCGUAGCAAUAUUGAAAUAGAAAUAUAUGGUAUGGAAGGUAUACCGCCAAAUGAUGCAAAAGAACAUGAAAGGCAAAGAAAUGGAGGUAGACCUGGUUCACCAAGUUCUGGUGAAGAUGAACCUGUACGCAAGAAAGCAAAACCAGAAGGUUUAUUGGGUUCUGCACCAGGAGCUAUACCUACAGGCUCUAACAUGAUGCCAGGUGUAAUGCCAGGUAUGGCAGCUCAUCCUGGUAUGCCACCAAUGGGACAGUUCCCACCACCCAUGCAUCAUAUGAUGGGACCUAUGGGUCCUGUAGGUCCACCUUUCAUGGGUCCUGGUAUGAUGCCUGGAAUGCCAGGUAUGCCUCCUGGCAUUCAACCACCAGUAUCAGGUGCAUCCAUACCACCAACACGACCAUUAUUUCCAAGUGCUGCAGCUGUUUCAACAGCAGCAUCUACUGCUGUGACUUCUCCCUUGGGCACAGAUUUUAAACCAAUUACAUCAGUGGCUGGUGGAUCCAUAGGUCCUGUUAAGCCAACAUUCCCUGCUUAUAGUAAUGCAGACAGUAAUACAGCUACUAGUAAUAAUAUUGGAAGUGAUCAGAAAGUAAAUCUUAUAGCAACUACUAGUGCUGCAAUUAAAAUCAUUCAUCCACCAGAAGACCUUAGCCUAGAGGAAAUUAGAGCAAGACUUCCAAAAUAUCAACGCCGACAAACUGAAGAAUCUCGAACUGUGCAAGCUGAUACCAGUCAACAAGCUGUUGCAUUACAACAGCAGCAGCAACAACAGCAACAACAAGCUGCUGCUGCUAAUGCAGCUGCUGCAUUUCAGGAUCAGCAGCAGCGACAACAAGCUGCGUUAAAUGCACUUCAACAACAACAACAAAGAUUUCAGAGACCACCACAAGCAGUAAUGGUUCCUGCAUCUGCAGCAAUGCCUGUUAGUUCUGUUGCAUUGAUGGCACCGCUUAUGCGGCCUACUAUGACUCUAGCUGCACCUGCUCUGAUUCAUGGAGGUAACAUGAUGCGACCGCCCCCCAUGGGCCUACCACCAGGGUACCCAGUCACUCCUUGGUGAGUGUUGAACGAACCCAGUGGUUACUAAAACCGUGUUUUAUACAAGUGCAACAAGGUGGGUCGAGCGGCCAACGAUAUUGCAUCUGUUCUGAUUCCUACAACGCCGGACAGCCAC